This 477-nucleotide ribosomal RNA is filed under the name uncultured bacterium. RNAcentral describes it as "partial 16S ribosomal RNA". It matches the Rfam family "Bacterial small subunit ribosomal RNA", at positions 29 to 507 of the family's 1533-position model. The record is from RNAcentral.
ACGAACGCUGGCGGCGUGCUUAACACAUGCAAGUCGAACGUGAUUUUUGUGGAAAUUCUUUCGGGAAUGGGACUGAAAUGAAAGUGGCGAACGGGUGAGUAACACGUGAGCAACCUACCUUACACAGGGGGAUAGCCGUUGGAAACGACGAUUAAUACCGCAUGAGACCACAGAAUCGCAUGAUAUAGGGGUCAAAGAUUUAUCGGUGUAAGAAGGGCUCGCGUCUGAUUAGCUAGUUGGAAGGGUAAAGGCCUACCAAGGCGACGAUCAGUAGCCGGUCUGAGAGGAUGAACGGCCACAUUGGAACUGAGACACGGUCCAAACUCCUACGGGAGGCAGCAGUGGGGAAUAUUGCACAAUGGGGGGAAACCUGAUGCAGCGACGCCGCGUGAGCGAAGAAGGUUUUCGAAUCGUAAAGCUCUGUCCUAUGAGAAGAUAAUGACGGUAGCAUAGGAGGAAGCCCCGGCUAAAUACGUG